This 482-nucleotide ribosomal RNA is filed under the name uncultured bacterium. RNAcentral's name for it is "partial 16S ribosomal RNA". It matches the Rfam family "Bacterial small subunit ribosomal RNA", at positions 30 to 507 of the family's 1533-position model. The record is from RNAcentral.
AUUGAACGCUGGCGGCAUGCCUUACAUAUGCAAGUCGAACGGUAACGGGCCUUCGGGUGCCGACGAGUGGCGAACGGGUGAGUAAUACAUCGGAACGUGCCCGAUCGUGGGGGAUAACGAGGCGAAAGCUUUGCUAAUACCGCAUACGAUCUACGGAUGAAAGCAGGGGACCGCAAGGCCUUGCGCGGACGGAGCGGCCGAUGGCAGAUUAGGUAGUUGGUGGGAUAAAAGCUUACCAAGCCGACGAUCUGUAGCUGGUCUGAGAGGAUGAUCAGCCACACUGGGACUGAGACACGGCCCAGACUCCUACGGGAGGCAGCAGUGGGGAAUUUUGGACAAUGGGCGCAAGCCUGAUCCAGCCAUGCCGCGUGCAGGAUGAAGGCCUUCGGGUUGUAAACUGCUUUUGUACGGAACGAAAAGCCUUCUUUUAAUACAGGAGGGUCAUGACGGUACCGUAAGAAUAAGCACCGGCUAACUACGUG